This is a long non-coding RNA of Aedes aegypti (yellow fever mosquito), 246 nucleotides long. RefSeq lists it as uncharacterized. The record is from RefSeq and is a predicted model, not a curated record. NCBI's taxonomy places the organism in Eukaryota, Metazoa, Arthropoda, Insecta, Diptera, Culicidae. The transcript is spliced from 2 exons.
GUGCGCAGUUCUCAAGUCUUAACAUUAAUUGAACAUAUUUCUAUAUGUUUAACGCCUUUUUUGUUCAAUUUAUAACCCGAUGGAAAAGUACAAAGAACCGGGUGUCUUGUUCCUGCCACAGACAUCUUUAGUGCCAACGACAGUCAUAAUAGAGAAGCGAUUUGUUGUAGAAAAUAUAUAAAAAUGAACACAAUGUAUCUUUAUAGUGAAUAUAAGUCAAUAAAACAAUAAAUGCCUGACUAUGUA